GAGCACCAAAUAAAGACAAAACUGAUGAAGUGAGCGACUUGUUGUCUGGAAUAAUACAGAACCAGCAACCUCUGGAAGGUAUACCAGAUGAUGAUCACUUCAACAGUUCAGAUGAAGAACUGAGAACAAAUGAACAGAGGGAUCUGAACAGGCUGGCAGAGCCAGAGCACAGUGAGUGUGUGCCCUCCACAUCUGCUCCAGCAUCCCUGAGAAAAGAUGCUGCCACCACCUGUCAGAAUAGAGCAAGCAGAAUGACCAUCCAUGAAAAGUUAGCCAGAGAAUUCCAUGAGCAAAAAAUUAAAUUUAUGAAGGAAGAGCAUGACAUGAAAAUGAGAAUUCUACAGGCUGAAUUGGAUAUGAAGUUGGCAGAAAGAGAACAUUAUCAAGGAAAAAUAAGCCAUAGUAAAUACCUUCCAUAUUGAAAUUCAUCUUACCUAGCUGAAGUGCUGUAUUGUGAAUGCAGCUCUAUGUGCAAGUCCUUGUUGGCCAUUGCCUGCCUCAGCCA
Long non-coding RNA from Brienomyrus brachyistius, 505 nucleotides. RefSeq lists it as uncharacterized. The transcript is spliced from 3 exons. The record is from RefSeq and is a predicted model, not a curated record. NCBI's taxonomy places the organism in Eukaryota, Metazoa, Chordata, Actinopteri, Osteoglossiformes, Mormyridae.